RNAcentral lists this ribosomal RNA (253 nucleotides) under uncultured bacterium. Its description in RNAcentral is "partial 16S ribosomal RNA". It matches the Rfam family "Bacterial small subunit ribosomal RNA", at positions 524 to 776 of the family's 1533-position model. The record is from RNAcentral.
UACGUAGGGUGCAAGCGUUGUCCGGAAUUAUUGGGCGUAAAGAGCUCGUAGGCGGUUUGUCGCGUCUGCUGUGAAAACUCGGGGCUCAACCCCGAACUUGCAGUGGGUACGGGCAGACUAGAGUGUGGUAGGGGAGACUGGAAUUCCUGGUGUAGCGGUGAAAUGCGCAGAUAUCAGGAGGAACACCGAUGGCGAAGGCAGGUCUCUGGGCCAUAACUGACGCUGAGGAGCGAAAGCGUGGGGAGCAAACAGG